GACCCAGGGAUUGGCCUCAGUAGCGGCGAGUGAAGCGGCAAGAGCUCAGAUUUGAAAUCGUGCUUUGCGGCACGAGUUGUAGAUUGCAGGUUGGAGUCUGUGUGGAAGGCGGUGUCCAAGUCCCUUGGAACAGGGCGCCCAGGAGGGUGAGAGCCCCGUGGGAUGCCGGCGGAAGCAGUGAGGCCCUUCUGACGAGUCGAGUUGUUUGGGAAU
This 213-nucleotide ribosomal RNA is filed under the name Pichia kudriavzevii. RNAcentral's name for it is "partial 26S ribosomal RNA". It matches the Rfam family "Eukaryotic large subunit ribosomal RNA", at positions 56 to 281 of the family's 3401-position model. The record is from RNAcentral. Lineage: Eukaryota; Fungi; Ascomycota; Pichiomycetes; Pichiales; Pichiaceae.